UCGCUACUUUUCUCUUUCU
This 19-nucleotide small nuclear RNA is filed under the name Arabidopsis thaliana (thale cress). Its description in RNAcentral is "snRNA_04962". The record is from RNAcentral. Lineage: Eukaryota; Viridiplantae; Streptophyta; Magnoliopsida; Brassicales; Brassicaceae.